CAUAUUUACUGGCCACCUCCUCUGUGCUAGGCACGGCCCUAGUGCGGCAUCCAGGGGUGCACGUGAGCCUCUGCCCUGAGGGGCUGCCACUCUAGAGGGGCUAAGAGAUGAAAGAGGCCGUUCCUGGCAUCCCAGAAGCCCCCCAAAGCCCAGCCAGUGACGUGCUCUGGGUUCCCAUUUUCUGCCUUCCCAGAGCUCCUGGCCAGCCCCACCGCCCCUAUAAGUCCUGGAGUUCUGCGGCAGGACCCCCAGGUCACUUGCCCCCUGGGCGCAGCCCCCGUGAAAGGGACUGGGUACAUCUGGGAAACCCCUGGCUUUUCUUAGUUUUAGCUCAAAUAAGGUCAUUAUGUUUUUAAAGUUACUUCUCCUCUGAAACAAAAAACCACAUCACAACCCACACACUGCGUGGCACAGACAUGGGGGGUGGGGCCCACACCCCGAUAAGCUCAGCGUUUCAAAGCCCCGAGAUGCGCCCUCCGUUUAGCCAGAGUCCGAGGGGGCCUCUCUCCGCUCCCUGCUCUCUACAAGGCUUCGGGGCAGACUCCGGACCCCCCAUGCGGCGCUGGAGCCCGGGCCUCCUCUGCCUCCCCCUCUCUUCCUGCGCUCACACCUCGGCCGUCAGCCUCCACUCUCGUUUCCUCAAACCCACCUUCCCGGUCCCUGCACCCCAAGGCCUUCGCACAUGCCCGUCCCCUUUCCUCGAAUCUUUUCCUCCCUCUGCUCCUCGAACUUCCCUGCUGGCCACGGUGGGCUGGGGUCUCCUCUCAUGUGCGUUCCGCCCCCUAAGCCUACCACCCCAGUAGCGGCAGUCCUUGCCUUAUGCCAAUACUGACGGCGGUGCAUAAAUGCCUUCACUCACUGUGUUGUCCCAGCAUGCACAUAGUCUCUCAUUUAAUCCCUCUCACCUGCUUCCAAGAUAGGCAUGAGUUGCCCCAUUUUGCAGAGGAGGAAACACAGGUACGGGAGACCACAGGAGUUAGAGCUCAAGUGGGUAAGGGGGACACUGCUGUCCCACCCUCUGUGCCACUCCCAUCCUCCUUGCUGACGGAAUCCUAGUUUUGUGCAGGGCAGGCGUUUGUACCUAACACCUGACAAAAUACUUGUUUUCCCAGCCGGCUUUGUAGCUGGGGUUCCAAGGUCACAUAGUUCUGGCCAAAAAGACAUAAGGGAAAAUCAGCUGGAGAGGUGGCUUCUACGAAAGUUUUUGUUUUCUUCCAUAAAAAUUGACAGACCUAACUGAUACUGCCCUUGGUCCUGCCCCCUCCCUGGCUUCAAUACCGAUGGGAUGUCUGGAGCUGCAGCAGCCAUCCUGUGAGCUUGAGGCCAGAGAUGUGAAGACACAAGCCAACGAGGGCUGAGAGCGGAUGAGGAGAAAGGGAAAAAGGGCCUGGGCCCCGACAGCAUCAGUUGGCACCUGAAUUAGUGCCAGCGACUGCCUUGUUAUGGGAACAAAGGAAAAUGAAGCCACCUAUUUGUUUAUUCCUCCAUUGGUUGGGCCUUCUAUUACUGUUAGCUGACAGCAUUUGCAACUGAGGGCUUAGGACUCCUAGCCCAGUGCUCUUUCCACCGUAUCAUGUACCCAGCAGGCACUGGACAUGGGUGAGUCACUUGCUUCUGCUCUGCACAUUGGCCAAGGGCCAGGGGCCUCGCAGACAGGAAAGAGAAACGGUGUGGGAAGUCGGCGAGAAUCUGUGUUGAAACAGGAAGACCUGUCGGCUGCGGGCGGGAGCUGACAACACGGUGCUCACUCCUGUGACAACAGCCACGCCCAGGGCCCGCCUAGUGCCAGGCCUGGCCGGGCUGUCAGCCUCGCACUCGGCCCUUCUUGCAAUGAAACCACGGCCUGGCGGGCCGGGACAGCGCCUGCUGGACAGACGGCUUCACCCACCGCCCGCUGGCCCGAGCCUGGCCGCUCGCGUCCCUUCCUCCUGAGCGGUGGCCGGGGUCCCGCGGGCUCCUCCCAUCCCUCACCCCAGCUCCCACUGGUCACCAGGCCCGGGCAGUUCGACCUCCCAGGACCUGCUGAAUCCACGCCCUUGUCCCCACGGCUGCCCCCCUCUCUGCCUGUCCUCCGUCUUCCACUGGGGGUCCUCCUUGUGUACAAACAUGCUCGGGCCUCUCAGAAGCCGUGACAUCCUCCUGUUGCCUUCAAACACGCUCACGCAGCCGCCGGGUCAUUUGGUCACGUAAGCAUUCGGCAAACAGCUAAGGAGACCGGUGCCAGACCCGGGGUGUGAGGGCCAGUCAGACGGCAAGCUCCAUGACAGCAAGGACCCGAGUGCUGUGUUCGCGGUUUAACACCAAGACCCUGGUGUGUCCUGGCCCCUUAAUCCUUGCUGGAAGAAUGUUUGCGUUUAUGCAAACGAGCCAGUGGACCAGGGAUGGACUUCAGUGGAGGGAGAGAGACCGACCGACCGUUCCAGCCACGAGUGGAGCCCGCCCUUCUGGCAUCCCUAUCAGGUGCCAGCCGCGUGCGGACCAUCGGGAUGUGCCAGCCCAGCUGAGGCCCCAGGUCACUGCAGCGCCCCCGCCGUCACGUGGCAGGGAAGAGGCGCCCGCAUGAGCCCAGCCAACGCAGCGAAUCCCGGGCGGGGACAACAUGGCAGCUCUUAUAAGCCGCUGCAUUUUGGGGCGGUUUGUUACACAGACACUGAUGCCGAAACAAUGGCUUGGGGGCUGGGAUCUUCUACUCCUUUGACCUCUGACUUCCUACCCUCCAUGCCCACCUGAGAGAAACACUGACCUUUGGGGACACCUGACUCCACCCAGGCCUCAUGGGGUCCGGUAGGCGGGGCUGGCUCUGGGGAGGGAAGGGCAGGUCUGGAUGUCUCCAGACCCCUGGAGAGGACCCCAGGGAAGGCGAAAUGAGCAGUUAUCCGUAUAAUCCCAACCUCAAUUCAAUUCCGUGUUCUCGUGCUGACCACACGCUCCACACCACGCUGCGGGCAGGCGCCGGAGCCGCAGGGACCGGGGGCACCGACCCCUCCCGAGAGGCACUGGGAGGCCAGUGGGAGACCCAGACGCAUUGAUGCGCACCUGCCGUGUGGCUUGAGCCGUGUGUCACAGAAGUAUAUUCAACUGAGAAGGGAAGGGACUCUGGAGUUAAGGCGCUGGGGUAGGGGUGUUUCCACCCCGAGCCGAAAGCAGCCGCCACAGUAAUGAGAACAAGAAACAGAGACAGAAACUCCCAUCUUCGAAGAAACUAGGAGACACCUGUAACCUCAAAGCACGAGCACUGAGAGCAGAUGGUGGGGUGGUAAAUGAUUUAACAGAGCCCAGGGGAGCAAACCUCAGUGCCUGCUGUUACGUGGCAGGGCAGGGGAGGUGGGUUUUGGAGAUGGACACGACGUGAACCAGCUGGCCUUGCAGAAUCCCGGAGAGGCUCCGAACCGGGGCACCUGGACACCACUGAUCGUGAGGCAGGAGGCUGAAACAAGAGGGUUGUUUGAGGUCUGUGUAAGGAACAGUCAGACACCUCCUUUCCAGGUCCUCUCCUUGGCACUACUCAGACAGUCAACUGCCCCUUCUUACCCCAGGCAGGGAGAAUUCAGCCAGAAUGCUCCGGACCCAGGGACACCAGCUGUGGAGCAGAGUGGGUGAGGCAGCAGAAUGAUUUCUGGAGAUGCUGUAGAUUUGAUUAUGCUCCUUCCCAUCCAUGGGAAGGAAUGUCUUUCCCCACUGCCCUGCUGCGGGGCUUGGGCAUGUGAGUUGCUGAGGCCACUGGGCUGUGCAUCAGAAGGAGGGACUGCAAUGUGCUUGCACCCCUGAGCAUGCUCUCUUGUGCUGCCAAUACAAAUGAAUUGAAUUAAAUUAAAUAGAACAUGCCCUGGACGAGCCUGCUGUUUCCAAGAGUGGAAGGAACCACUGAGCAGAGCUGCAACCUACAGACUUGGCCCAGUCCAGCCCAGUCUAAACCAGCUCAUACCAGCCGACCUGAAGAUGUGUGAGUGGACCAAGUGCUUACUGUCGUGUGCCACAGAGUUUUGUGGGUAUUUGUUACACAGCAAUAGCUGACUGAUACAGGGGGAUUAUGUGAAAGCCCGGAUACCGAACAAAGUGACCCCAGCCCCCUUCCCUGGCCCAAUUCAAGGGUGUCAGCACCUGGGCAUACACUCACCCAGACAGGGAAUUUGAGGGUCUGGUCAUCCCAGAGAGAAGUCUCACAGAUGCUGACAUCUGGGUGUCCUUGACCAAAGAGCCAGCUGCCCUGCGGAGGUGCUCAUCACUGCACGAGCACGGCUCCUGCGCUCCAGUCAGAUUGCUGCUGCCUGACUCUGAAGCAGGAAUGGAUAACAAGGGUUGAUUAGCUGAAGAAAGCUGCAACGUGAAAGAGUCCUGAUCAAAUGAGUAGGAGGAAAGGAACUGGCAAGAAACGUGGACAGUGCAGUGAGCAGAAGAAAACGUCAAAGAACCAUCAUUGCCAUCCUUGAGGACAUCAGGAAACAUGUACCCACAGAUGAGCACAGAACGCCACCGCAAAGGAGCAAUCAGAACACAGAAAAGAGCUCUUGGAAAUUAAAAAUAUGUUGAUUAAAAAGAAGAAGAUCUGGUGAUGGGCACACAGAAAACCCUCACUUAAGCAUUAUUCAGGGAAUCCAUGUGACAAAAAUACCUGCACCUCCUUAAUUAAUAUUUUGAAAUAAAAACAGAAGGAUUAGAAGAUAAAAACAGAUAAUAAUAAAAAAAAAAUCCAGGAAGUAGAACAAAAUAGUAAAGGGCGAACGACAAGAAAAUUAAAGGUUUAAUCCAGGAGGCCCAAUA
Microcebus murinus (gray mouse lemur) is the source of this 4761-nucleotide non-coding RNA. The record is from RefSeq and is a predicted model, not a curated record. Lineage: Eukaryota; Metazoa; Chordata; Mammalia; Primates; Cheirogaleidae.